AGCACGCCGCGUGAGUGAAGAAGGGUUUCGGCUCGUAAAGCUCUGUUGGUAGUGAAGAAAGAUAGAGGUAGUAACUGGCCUUUAUUUGACGGUAAUUAAUUAGAAAGUCACGGCUAACUACGUGCCAGCAGCCGCGGUAAUACGUAGGUGGCAAGCGUUGUCCGGAUUUAUUGGGCGUAAAGCGAGUGCAGGCGGUUCAAUAAGUCUGAUGUGAAAGCCUUCGGCUUAACCGGAGAAUUGCAUCAGAAACUGUGGAACUUGAGUGCAGAAGAGGAGAGUGGAACUCCAUGUGUAGCGGUGAAAUA
Molecule: ribosomal RNA, 305 nt
Filed under: uncultured Lactobacillus sp.
Lineage: Bacteria; Bacillati; Bacillota; Bacilli; Lactobacillales; Lactobacillaceae
Description: bacterial SSU rRNA
Rfam family: Bacterial small subunit ribosomal RNA
Source: RNAcentral